AACGCGAAGAACCUUACCCGGGCUUGAACUACGGAUGGUAAGUCCUAAGAAACUAGGGCUGACCCGCAAGGGAGUCCGCAGAGGUGCUGCAUGGUUGUCGUCAGCUCGUGUCGUGAGAUGUUGGGUUAAGUCCCGCAACGAGCGCAACCCCUAUUCGAUGUUGCUAAUCCCGCAAGGGAUGCACUCUUCGAAAACUGCCUUCGAUAAGAAGGAGGAAGGUGGGGAUGACGUCAAAUCCUCAUGGCCCUUAUGUCCGGGGCUACACACGUGUUACAAUGGCCGGUACAAUGGGAAGCAAUACCGUAAGGUGGAGCCAAACUCACAAAGCCGGCCCCAGUUCAGAUUGUGGGCUGCAACUCGCCCACAUGAAGGCGGAAUCGCUAGUAAUCGCUGAUCAGCAGGCAGCGGUGAAUACGUUCCCGGGCCUUGUA
This 431-nucleotide ribosomal RNA is filed under the name uncultured Elusimicrobium sp. Its description in RNAcentral is "bacterial SSU rRNA". It matches the Rfam family "Bacterial small subunit ribosomal RNA", at positions 958 to 1385 of the family's 1533-position model. The record is from RNAcentral. Lineage: Bacteria; Pseudomonadati; Elusimicrobiota; Elusimicrobia; Elusimicrobiales; Elusimicrobiaceae.